CUGUGACCCGGAGGCGCUGGGGCUGUCCUGGGUCGUCACAUGCGAGAAAUCGUCUCACCCCAGCCAGUGUGACGGAGUGAGAGCAAAAGAAAGUUUUGAUAGCAGCGUACGAUUUAUAUUCAGCUGUAUGCUGGGCAGGUCCAACUUGGCAUUUCUUGGCUGUAUCUCUGAAGGAAAGUCAUCUUAAUCUCUAUGAGCCUCCAUUUCCUCAGCUGUAAAAUGGGAAGAUCUUCCUCACACUGCUGUGACCCCACGUUAUCAAGAAAAGUACAGGAAAUCUGCCGUUGGGAGAGCGGCAGCACCCAUGUGGAGUGCCACUUUCUGAUCUGGGACUUAAACAACAUUGCUGUUUUCCUCCUUGCUCCAAGUCAUCCAUUUUGACAAUUUUAUAUCAGCAUGGACCCUUCACCAAGACUGAAAUAACUCUGUUAUUGAGUGUUGGGAACACGGAGAUGAAUAAAACAAGGCCCCUGUCCUGGGAGAGCCGAGAGGCCACCUGUCAGCUGACAUCUUAGGGAGGACACCAUCUACAUCCAACCCUGACUACUGAACACUUCCAGUUUCUUGGAAGAAAGAUUUUAAAAUCUUCAGAAAUGAGAACUCCUCCAAAUAGGAUUUUCAUUUGUUUCAUAUAUUUUAAAAUUUUAUAUUUUAAUAUGUAACAGUCAUAUGGUUUAAAUAUAAAAAUGACAUCAGUGGCUCAGUAAAAAAAAAAAAAAAAAA
RNAcentral lists this long non-coding RNA (723 nucleotides) under Homo sapiens (human). RNAcentral describes it as "SRP14 divergent transcript, transcript variant 3 (SRP14-DT)". The record is from RNAcentral. Lineage: Eukaryota; Metazoa; Chordata; Mammalia; Primates; Hominidae.